This is a transfer RNA of Corynebacterium efficiens YS-314, 89 nucleotides long. It matches the Rfam family "tRNA". Rfam says of the family: Transfer RNA (tRNA) molecules are approximately 80 nucleotides in length. Their secondary structure includes four short double-helical elements and three loops (D, anti-codon, and T loops). Lineage: Bacteria; Bacillati; Actinomycetota; Actinomycetes; Mycobacteriales; Corynebacteriaceae. The record is from Rfam.
GGAGACGUGCCAGAGCGGCCGAAUGGGGCUCACUGCUAAUGAGUUGUCCUCUUAACGGAGGACCGGAGGUUCAAAUCCUCUCGUCUCCG